This 1029-nucleotide long non-coding RNA is filed under the name Canis lupus familiaris (dog). Its description in RNAcentral is "lncRNA (ENSCAFG00030008735.1)". Lineage: Eukaryota; Metazoa; Chordata; Mammalia; Carnivora; Canidae. The record is from RNAcentral.
AUGGUCCCCGGCGGCGCGUUUGCAAACCCCACCAGCGCCAACGCCUCAAACCCGCUAAACUUCCUGUCUCCGCACCAGCCCAGCGCCCCCAGCGCCGCGCCAAGUGCCCCCGAGGCGCGCGCGGAGACAGCUGCGGCCCCGGGGCCGUGGGCGGGGUUUCCUGCCCCCCCCCCCCCCCCCCGCCCAGCCCCGAGCGCCCGAGCCCGCGCCUCCGCUGGGGGUCUCCGGCCGUGCGCUCUGCGCCCCGGGCGCACGCGGAGCUGCCGCGCCCCCGCCGCGCGCUGCCCGCCCUCCCCCCGGCCGGCGCCCGCCUACCUGCCGCGCCGCCGCCUCCCUCGGGCGCUCGGGGGCUGCCGACCGCUACUUUAUUGUCUCGGCGGCUCACCGCGCGGGACGCGGGGGCCCGGCUCUGCGCCAGCCCUGCCAGCAACUCCGCGGGGCGCCGCGCCCUCCUCUGCCUCCGGCUCCCGGCCCGAGCUCCUGCCCCGCACGGGAGGCGCGCAGCCCGACCCCCGGGCUCGCUGGGCGGCCGGCGCCAGCCGCAUCCCCGGCCCGGGGCCGCGCGUCCCCGCUUCGGUCCACACUGAGCGCUGCGCCCGGCCGCCCGCCUGCCUCGCUGUCAGCCCGGGCGCCCGGCUCGGCUCUCCGCAGCCGCCCCCGCCCGCCGCCGCCGCCGCCUCUCCGGGGGCCGGGGCGGCCGCUGCCAAUGAGACUCGGCUGAUGCGCUGUUCCGGCCCAGUCAUUGUAUCGGGCGGGGAGGAAGGGGAGGGGAGCGGGAGGAGGGAGGGGGCGCCCUCGGCCCCCGCCGCGCGGCUGCCGGCUGGGCUCGCCUACCCCGACCGAGAAAAGGCGCUGGUGCCAAGGGGCGCGGAGCGGCUGGCGCGGCCGGGAGUGGGGGGGGGGGUGCAGGGGGCACGAGCCCGCGCCCCUCCAUCCCUCGCCCCGAGCCCUCCCCUGCCUGCAGGCGCGCGGACGGCUCGGUUGGCCUCCCAGGCUUCAGCAUCCCAAGCCCGACUGCCCUUAGAAUAA